RNAcentral lists this ribosomal RNA (913 nucleotides) under uncultured bacterium. Its description in RNAcentral is "bacterial SSU rRNA". It matches the Rfam family "Bacterial small subunit ribosomal RNA", at positions 8 to 899 of the family's 1533-position model. The record is from RNAcentral.
AGAGUUUGAUCCUGGCUCAGAAUCAACGCUGGCGGCGUGCCUAACACAUGCAAGUCGAACGCGAGGGUCCCGCAAGGGACUAGUAGAGUGGCAAACGGGUGAGUAACACGUGGGUGACCUGCCUUCGAGUGGGGGAUAACGUCCCGAAAGGGACGCUAAUACCGCAUGACAUCCUGCCGUUGAAACCGGUGGAGAUCAAAGCUGGGGAUCGCAAGACCUAGCGCUUGAAGAGGGGCCCGCGUCCGAUUAGCUAGUUGGUGAGGUAACGGCUCACCAAGGCAACGAUCGGUAGCCGGCCUGAGAGGGCGGACGGCCACACUGGGACUGAGACACGGCCCAGACUCCUACGGGAGGCAGCAGUGGGGAAUUGUUCACAAUGGGCGCAAGCCUGAUGACGCAACGCCGCGUGGAGGAUGAAGAUCUUCGGGUCGUAAACUCCUUUCGAUCGAGACGAACGGCUUCCGGGCUAAUCACCGGGAGAGUGACGGUACCGAGAGAAGAAGCCCCGGCUAACUCCGUGCCAGCAGCCGCGGUAAUACGGGGGGGGCAAGCGUUGUUCGGAAUUACUGGGCGUAAAGGGCUCGUAGGCGGCCAACUAAGUCAGACGUGAAAUCCCUCGGCUUAACCGGGGAACUGCGUCUGAUACUGGAUGGCUUGAGGUUGGGAGAGGGAUGCGGAAUUCCAGGUGUAGCGGUGAAAUGCGUAGAUAUCUGGAGGAACACCGGUGGCGAAAGCGGCAUCCUGGACCAAUUCUGACGCUGAGGAGCGAAAGCCAGGGGAGCAAACGGGAUUAGAUACCCCGGUAGUCCUGGCCCUAAACGAUGAAUGCUUGGUGUGGCGGGUAUCGAUCCCUGCCGUGCCGAAGCUAACGCAUUAAGCAUUCCGCCUGGGGAGUACGGUCGCAAGGCUGAAA